UACGGAGGGGGCGCGCGUUAUUCGGAAUUAUUGGGCGUAAAGGGCGCGUAGGCGGCUUGAUGUGUCAAAGGUGAAAUCCCUCGGCUCAACUGAGGAACUGCCUUUGAAACUGUCUGGCUUGAGGCCGGGAGAGGGUAGCGGAAUUCCCGGUGUAGUGGUGAAAUGCGUAGAGAUCGGGAGGAAUACCUGUGGCGAAGGCGGCCUACUGGGCCGGACCUGACGCUGAGACGCGAAGGCGUGGGGAGCGAACGGG
RNAcentral lists this ribosomal RNA (253 nucleotides) under uncultured bacterium. Its description in RNAcentral is "partial 16S ribosomal RNA". It matches the Rfam family "Bacterial small subunit ribosomal RNA", at positions 524 to 776 of the family's 1533-position model. The record is from RNAcentral.